CCUACGGGAGGCAGCAGUGAGGAAUAUUGGUCAAUGGACGCAAGUCUGAACCAGCCAUGCCGCGUGCAGGAAGACGGCGCUAUGAGUUGUAAACUGCUUUUGUACGAGGGCAAACGCAGAUUCGAGUAUCUGUCUGAAAGUAUCGUACGAAUAAGGAUCGGCUAACUCCGUGCCAGCAGCCGCGGUAAUACGGAGGAUUCAAGCGUUAUCCGGAUUUAUUGGGUUUAAAGGGUGCGUAGGCGGUCGGUUAAGUUAGAGGUGAAAUCCCGGGGCUCAACUUCGGACUAGCCUUUGAGACUGUUCGGCUAGAGAGUAGUAGCGGUAGGCGGAAUGUACGGUGUAGCGGUGAAAUGCUUAGAGAUCAUACAGAACACCGAUUGCGAAGGCAGCUUACCAGGCUACUUCUGACGUUGAGGCACGAAAGCGUGGGGAGCAAACAGGAUUAGAUACCCGUGUAGUC
Molecule: ribosomal RNA, 460 nt
Filed under: uncultured bacterium
Lineage: Bacteria
Description: partial 16S ribosomal RNA
Rfam family: Bacterial small subunit ribosomal RNA
Source: RNAcentral